RNAcentral lists this ribosomal RNA (440 nucleotides) under uncultured bacterium. Its description in RNAcentral is "partial 16S ribosomal RNA". It matches the Rfam family "Bacterial small subunit ribosomal RNA", at positions 338 to 795 of the family's 1533-position model. The record is from RNAcentral.
CCUACGGGUGACUGCAGUAGGGAAUAUUGCUCAAUGGGGGAAACCCUGAAGCAGCAACGCCGCGUGGAGGAUGAAGGUUUUCGGAUUGUAAACUUCUUUUGUCAGAGAAGAUAAUGACGGUAUCUAACGAAUAAGCACCGGCUAACUCCGUGCCAGCAGCCGCGGUAAUACGGAGGGUGCAAGCGUUACUCGGAAUCACUGGGCGUAAAGGGCGCGUAGGCGGGAGAGCAAGUCAGAUGUGAAAUCCUAUGGCUUAACCAUAGAACUGCAUUUGAAACUGUUAUUCUAGAGUAUGGGAGAGGUAGGUGGAAUUCUUGGUGUAGGGGUAAAAUCCGUAGAGAUUAGGAGGAAUACUCGUUGCGAAGGCGGCCUGCUAGAACAUAACUGACGCUGAUGCGCGAAAGCGUGGGGAGCAAACAGGAUUAGAUACCCCGGUAGUC